AUCCAGCUGUUGAGUUCCAGAUAGGACGAAACGUGCGUAGUGGAU
Molecule: non-coding RNA, 45 nt
Filed under: Schistosoma mattheei
Lineage: Eukaryota; Metazoa; Platyhelminthes; Trematoda; Strigeidida; Schistosomatidae
Source: RNAcentral